Hyla sarda is the source of this 432-nucleotide long non-coding RNA. RefSeq lists it as uncharacterized. The record is from RefSeq and is a predicted model, not a curated record. The transcript is spliced from 4 exons. NCBI's taxonomy places the organism in Eukaryota, Metazoa, Chordata, Amphibia, Anura, Hylidae.
AGGCCAUUGUGGCUAGGAUUUUCACCGCUCCCUGGUCUCCCUGGGGCUCUCACUUUGUGCUCUCCAGUUCAUUAGAGAUGAAACUUGGCUGGAGUUUGUAGAUGAUACCAUAUGAAGCUGGCAUGAUACCCAUUUGGCUGCUCAGCAUAGAACACACCUGCAGAGUAGGAGAAAGAAGAGAAAGAUUCCAGCAAAGAGGAAUAUAUAGAAAAAGACACUAGGACAAAAAUAGUCCCUAGAUAAGCCUAAAGUUGACCUUUCCACCAAGCUGCCGCUACAGGAAACAAAUGGAUGAGGUGAUUGCUGCUUAAGAGAUCUGCAGGCUAUUAAAUUCCUCCCUACACUGUGGAUGUUUCCUCACUGUGCUAAAUAAGACACAUAGACAUAGCAAUGUAUGUUUGUUAUUGCGUUUGUCCAUGAUUGUUACUUAGA